AAGGAUUUAAGUUAAACACAAACUGUUAGCCUUCAAAGCUAGAAAUAGGAAAUUACCUAAGCCUUA
RNAcentral lists this transfer RNA (66 nucleotides) under Neoplocaederus obesus. Its description in RNAcentral is "tRNA-Trp". The record is from RNAcentral. Lineage: Eukaryota; Metazoa; Arthropoda; Insecta; Coleoptera; Cerambycidae.